GUAGUUAUGUAUAUUGGUCGACAUUUUCGAACCGCAACAGGGACGAUAGUGAACACAAUGAGAUUGUUAACAAUAUGCAGUCAUCUAUUCCAGUUCUUACUGUAUUUGGUUUUACUUCUGUUGCUGAGUGUACCUAAUGUAUAUAGCCAGUCAGUUGUAACAUCUAAUAAAGUGGCC
Molecule: long non-coding RNA, 177 nt
Organism: Anneissia japonica
Lineage: Eukaryota; Metazoa; Echinodermata; Crinoidea; Comatulida; Comatulidae
Exons: 4
Source: RefSeq, a predicted model, not a curated record